This is a non-coding RNA of Lasiosphaeris hirsuta, 91 nucleotides long. NCBI's taxonomy places the organism in Eukaryota, Fungi, Ascomycota, Sordariomycetes, Sordariales, Lasiosphaeriaceae. The record is from the annotation of a GenBank genome assembly.
GGUUGUAUAGUGUAGUGGUUAUCACAUGGGAUUCUGAAAUCUCUGGAUCCAGGACCUUCCCAUGACCCCGGUUCGACUCCGGGUACGACCU